CGCGGCCUAUCAGCUUGUUGGUGAGGUAAUGGCCCGCCAAGGCACCGACGGGUAGCUGGUCUGAGAGGACGAUCAGCCACACUGGAACUGAGACACGGUCCAGACUCCUACGGGAGGCAGCAGCAGGGAAUCUUGCGCAAUGGGCGAAAGCCUGACGCAGCGACGCCGCGUGGGGGAUGAAGGCCUUCGGGUUGUAAACCCCUUUCAGGAGGGAAGAAAAUGACGGUACCUCCAGAAGAAGCCCCGGCCAACUACGUGCCAGCAGCCGCGGUAAUACGUAGGGGGCGAGCGUUGUCCGGAUUUAUUGGGCGUAAAGGGCUCGUAGGCGGCUUGACAAGUCGGCCGUGAAAACCCAGGGCUCAACCCUGGGAGGCCGGUCGAUACUGUCAUGGCUAGGGUCCGGUAGAGGAGAAUGGAAUUCCCGGUGUAGCGGUGAAAUGCGCAGAUAUCGGGAGGAACACCAGUAGCGAAGGCGGUUCUCUGGGCCGGUACCGACGCUGAGGAGCGAAAGCGUGGGGAGCAAACAGGAUUAGAUACCCUGGUAGUCCACGCCGUAAACGGUGGGUACUAGGUGUGGCGUCUUUAUCAACGGAUGCCGUGCCGAAGCUAACGCAUUAAGUACCCCGCCUGGGGAGUACGG
RNAcentral lists this ribosomal RNA (640 nucleotides) under uncultured Actinomycetes bacterium. RNAcentral's name for it is "bacterial SSU rRNA". It matches the Rfam family "Bacterial small subunit ribosomal RNA", at positions 232 to 885 of the family's 1533-position model. The record is from RNAcentral. Lineage: Bacteria; Bacillati; Actinomycetota; Actinomycetes.